CCGUAAGCCUGGCGCUCCAGUUUUCAUUCAGCCCGUCUUGUGUGGUGGGUAGGGAACCUAUGUUUGUGGCCAGUAACAGCUUCAGGCUGGCACAUAAGACAUCAGGUUCCCGGACCUUGAGGAGUGGGUCUUGAGAUUGUUGCUUUUGCUGCCCCGUAUCCAAACCCCCUUCCUAUUGGGGGACAACCCCAAAUUAGGUGCAGCAGAGGGGUCAACCACAUGCUGCGAAGACUUCUGGGCAGCCAGGACACGAGCAUGUGCCAGGACUUACCUGAGCAGAGCCACAGACACAAAGACACAGGGAGAGGUAGGCUUUCUCAGGUGGCCUCCGCAGUCGAGGUAGGCCUGAACCAACACGUCGUCUGGCAGCCCAUGGCCGCAUUCUGGCCACAGGGGGCUGGGACCGCGGUCUGGUUGUGCUCUUGCUAGGUAGCCUCCUUGUGUUCCUGCUGCCUCUCAGAGCCUGCUUCUCAUUAAGGCUCUCCUCGGGUCUCCACCACUCCCUGCUGUUUGCCAUUAACAAGUCUGACUCCCUGAUCUCCAUCAAGGGCAGGUGUGUACUGAGCUCUGGAAAGCCAGAGAUAGGAGCCUAAGUAAGUACAGAGCUGGCUGGGAGGGCGCCGUUGGGUAAGGCAGCACGGGAGGACACCUGGAGUGGCCUUGUCAGGUCUCCCGAUGGCUUAGAAGGGUCUCCAUGGGGAGCCAUGCUACCUGAUAGACAGUCCACACUCCAUAAGUCUGCCUCUUUUCUCUGAUCCCUUCUCCCCUCUGUCUACAAACCCUUCCUGAUGCCCGGGUCAUGCAAUUAAAUACUAUUUUUAAAACCAAGUUUUAUCUACGCUCCCUGUGGGUUAUCUCAGCUCCUACAGAGGCUCAGGAAACUGUGACGGCACGAUCGUCACACUGACUUGACAGGAGGCAGCCUGGGAAGUCAUGAUGGAAGAGGCUGCUCUCUUCCUGGCCUGGCCCCUCUUGGGGGUUCAGUGCUCGUCUCUGAAGUCACUGAGGUUUUUGUUGCAGUUUCCCUACGGUAUAGAGCGUGCCCUACAUCGCAGGGCUGGGCUAAGACGGAUUUCUGGCUUUCUUUUCUCAAAAAAUCAUGCUCAUUCAGGCACUGGCGAAUAUAGGUUCUGGUACUGAAGAUGAGCUGUCUGUUAAACUCUGAAUAGGGCUAUUCUCUCUGCAAUUAGAGACUUUUGGCUCAAACAAGAUCUUUUCUGGGAAGCCAUAAGCCUGUAUUCUGAUAUUUCAACAUUUCACCCCUCAUCCUCCCCACCAGCCCUCACUAGGGUUCAUAUCGUCCUAGAAAUGGAACACCACCACAAAGCAGUCACCCACAUGGAUUCUCCCACUUUGCAGGCUUAAGAUAAUGAAGUCAAACACACAUACACAGGCUCCAAAUACCUUUGGUAGAGCUUUACACCCAUAUGUGUGAAGGGCCAUUUCCAAACGGAAUAAUAACUGGAAGGCACGACUAAACCACUGGAAUAAAAUCCCCCUUUGGAUUAGGUAUCAGCAAAGUAAAUUAGUAACAUCUGAGCGCCUGUUAAGACUAGAGAUUCGCCGUUUGCUGGGACUGGCGUUUAUUUCAUUAUUGAAAAGGAAGGGAAAAAACAGAAGGAAUCAAGUCAGCUGUACUGAGUGUCGAUGACACACGUGCCUCCCAUUUUUGAAGCUCUUCUCCCUGGCGCCUCAGUGUACUGUCUGAGCUGCCCCUGGGCUACAACCGUGAUUAAGAGGAGAGGUCUCUCUUUUGAAGGGGUUGGUGGUCUCUUGAGCUGAGGAAGUGGAACACGGGCUCCCUAGCCUCCUUCGUGACUUUGAUCACCAAGUCCCCCGUUACGUUGGAAGAUUAAAGGCAUGUGGACGCCUGGGGGAGGGCAGCCUGGAGGUGACAUUCAAAAGCUCGAUUAGUCUUCUGCGGAUCAGUUGUCUACAGGCUUCCAGAACAGCCCUCCAGACCACAUUUUAGGACACGGCUGCCAGCAGCUGCUGUCUUGACCUGACCAGGAAGUUGCUGCUCCCCUCUGACUCCAGGACCACCCACCCCUGCCAUGGUCUGCACCAGCAAAAUGGACACCUUGCAUCCUACCCCUCUUCCCACGCAACUCAGAGCCUCGGUCUCCUCAUUUAUAAACUGAGUGGCAUCCACCUCCAGGUCAUAUGUAAUACAUUUCACAGCUGGUGUGUCAUAGGCACAGGACAGUGAGGAUGGCCGUAGAUUGUAAAUCGCUCAUUAGGACUUACUGGUGCCAACCAGCUGAAUACCAACCCUCCUGGCAGUAUCACCAGAAAUGCCAAGUGGCAAGGGUUAUCUGGAUGGUCCCGGGUGCAUAGAGCAUGAGUGGUUUGACUGAGAUUACACAGGCCAGUGGUUAGAAUGUGGUGAGAAUUCCAUGAACACCCCCAAGACCUUUAGAGAGAGAAUGCUCUUGCAGAUUUGGAGGAGAAACCCAGGAUGCAUCUGGACCAUCCACCUGAGUGCAAUGCUCCCACACAAGGAGGACGGCUGGGCAAGGAGCUGAGCGCUCAGUCAAGGAUGAUGCUGCUCCAUUGCUCCCCUCUUGUUCUGGUGAAACAGGUGGAUGGAUUUGAGCCUGAGAGAUAACAAGCAAGGAGAAUAACUGGGAGCAUUAGGCUUUGGGGUGCCCUCUGCUUGAGCAUGACGGGCACUCAUCCUGUCUGAGGUGAAGGUGUGGACAGGAUGAAACAUGCCAGAGACUGGAGUCCGGAACCUUGAAAGUUUAAUGAGGAUGGUUAGCGGAGCGACGCUAUGAUUAAUCACGUCAAAAGCAUCACGUAAAUCAAGCUGGAUGGUGGUGGACAACGACUAUUUAAUUUUGAUACUGAAAGGUCAUUUGGAACGCUUACUAGUGCGCUGUCAGGAGGGGCUGGCUUCUAAAUCCAGGUGGAUAAAGGUCCAUUAGGUCCCUGAGUGGAGGACUUAAGAUCCGAGCCAACUAGACAGGCCUGAUGCACCUGAACACAGGAGAAAAGGCAAAAGGAGACAUUUCAAAGUGAAACCGAGUCACUGAGGGUUUUACACUUUUUUAAUUUUUAAUUUUUUAAAUCUCUCCUCACUUGAGGUCCUAGAAAAAUGAUAUUAAGAAGGGCAGUAACUGAAUACAAGGCCGUCAGAGGAACUAUUGCUGUUGUGUUUUGUGAGCAAAGGAACAUGUUAUGUAAGCAGAUUAUGAGGGCUAUGCACAGAGAGGAGAGUUCAAUAUUAUUAGAAAGUCAAGCUCACAACUGAAUGUCUCUGAUGCGCAUUUAAGGAGGAGCAUAACCAAGGGAUAUUAGAGCGAUGGAGGACCUGGACGAUUGUCUGGUCCAUCCUCCUCACUGGCACAGAUGAGGACAAUUACGCAGAGAUGAUGCCCAGGGGCCGAGUUUGCACAGCAACAAAUGGCGGGACAGGGAUGAGCGUGGGGCUGCUGGCUCUCUCCAGGCGCAUCCACUCCAUCCAACCUUAGGUGGGGCGGGAGCCCCAGCUGUGAACAUACAUUUCACUUGACUGCAUGGCCACCAGACAAAGACUUUGCAAGGCAUCUGGCAGAGGGAAUCGGACUGAGCCAGAGCUGCUCAGGAGAUCCUGAAAGGCGGCGAUGUGGAAGCCAAAGGGCAGAGGCUCCCUCCUCUCUGGGAAGCAGCGUCUAGAGCCCAGGCCCCCUGGCUGCCCGCCCUUGGCUCUCACCUGCCUGGGGGCGCUCAGCUUGGAGCCAGCCUGGCUGGGGGGGUGGGCAGAAGGGUGGGUGCUCACGAGGUGCGGGAGGGAAGGGACACCCUGCUUCAGAUGCCCCAGUCAGCGCCGUCCUCCUGGUGACUCCUUAAUUUCACCAUUUAAACACAGCUCCUUUUUCUCUCCUUUCUUACCUUUUUUUGAAUGGGUUGUCUUUCUUUGCUUGCUUGCUUGCUUUUCUUAUUCCAUUUCCCCCUCUUUCCUGGCUGGGAAGUUGUACCCUCAAUUUCUACCUUUUUUUUAGUAUUUGUCCUUGAAACUUUAACAUGUAUGCUUAACUUACCAAAGUACAAAUUUAAUCGUAUCUUAAUUCCUUUCCUGUCAAUGUGAGGACAUUGGACCUCCUUAACUCAGAUCCCCCUACCCUUACUUCUAAGCUAUUGUUGAAUGUCUUAAUGCCAUUUUUUACCCUAAAAAUUAGAAAUUGUUAUGAUUUUACACAAUUAGUGUUCAUACGUACUUCCCUGUUUACCAAUUUCUUUACUCACAGGCCUUUCCAGACUCAUCUUUUCUUCUUAGGUUGUCCUUCCUCGAGUGCAGGUCCUUUUGGUGGUCAUCUCCGUCUGUCUGGUCAUUUCUCCUGUUUUCUUGACAGUUUACUGGUGAGGUCCUUCUAGGCUGGUGGUUAUUUUGUCUCAGCAGAGAUUUUCCAGCCCUCUCCUGGCUUCCUAUGUAGUUCUAGGCAAGUUGGCUAUUGGUCUAAUCGUCAUGACUUGUAACCAAGAUGUCCUUCUUCUCUGGCUGCUUUUGGGAUCAUCUCUGUCUUUCUUGUUUUGUGGUUUUACUACAGUAUGUCUAGAUGGAGAUUUCUCUUCAUUUAUCUAUGCGCUUCUUAUCUGUGUAUUGUCUCAUGAAUUUUACAGCAUCUCAGCGGCUAUGUCCUUACAUUUUCUCUAUUAUUUCCUUUCGAAUUGGACACAUGUUAGACCGUCUCAUUCUAUCUUCCCUCUCUCUUUGCUUUCAUUUUUUUCUGUUUCAUGCCUCUAUGUGCUUAAUGGCGGGUAAUUUCCUUGGCUCUGUCUUCUCCCCGAUUGUGGCUUCUUUUCUCAAUGUAUCUAAUCUUCUGUUUGGCCAGCUUAUUGUUUUUAAUUUUAAUAAUAUUUAAUAAUAUUUUAAUUUUAAUAAUAAUAAUAUUUAAUAAUAUUGUUUUUAAUUUUAAUAAUAUUUCCAUUCUAAGAUUCUCAUAUGAGUCAUUUUUCAAAUCUUCCUGGUGCUGUGUUUCUUUCUCCUUUUCUAAUUCCAUCUUUUCCUUUAAACAUUUUUUACGGGGUCAUUUUGUCCCCAGUGGUUCCGGUAGCUGGAGCCCUUCGGGAUGUAUUCUGUGGUGUGUUGUUUCUCCUGAUUCCACCCAUGUUCAUUUAUUUCCCUCUUUAUUUGUUCAUUUUUAAUGGAGGGAUAAUAUUUGAUUGAACUUAAUUUGUUCCUCCAGAGAAUUGUGCUUUCUUGGGCAUUGUGUCAUGCUGCUGCCAACCUGGCACUACUUCGUUUUACUUUUUUUUUUACUUUCACAGAUCUGAAGGGGGAGCGGGAGGGAAUAAGGACGGAGAGGAGACCAGUCUCUCCGGAACACCGGGUGCACUAGGGCGGGUCCCUCUGCCCUGUAAGAGUUGGGUGGUGGGCAUUUACCCGUGUGAGCACCGUGCCCUCACAGGCUGUUGGCACUUGGGGAGCAAGGGCAGAGGGGAAAAUGAGGAAGGGAGUCUGGAGACCUUACAUGCUGAGUUGGGUUUGUUUUUCAGAAGGAGGGAGGAUGCUGUGAGCUGCAAAUUAGUUCGGGGAGCAGGUCACCCUGAGCAGCCGUGGAGGGCUGUGAAAGAGGCACAGGUGGCAGGGCACCAGUGCGGGACUCGAGGGCUUUGGCAGUGAGUGUGCCGGCUGCUAGGAGCCACAGGCUGUUCUAGAGGAGAGGAGGGUUGCAGCCCAAGUGGCACUGGAUUGGGGAAGGGGGUCCUACACACAUUGGUCAGAAGACAAUCACCGUGGAAAGGAGAAAGAGGAGCCAAUGAUAGUACUAAGCUCUGCCCAGAGCGAGUGCUGGUUUCGUCUUCCCUUCUCCCUCCUCCAGGAUGCCUCCUCCAGGAAGCCUGCCGGGAUAGCAGUCUUCUCCACCGGCAGCUCAGAGCCUGGUUGGGCCUGGUCUCCAGGUGGCCUUGGCGUGUGUGUCCCUGGCUCUGGGUCUUACUCAGGACGAGGGGCGAGGGCCGGGGGUCCCUGCGGCCUUGGAGACCCGGGCCGCUGCCCCCAGCGAAUGUUUGAAUUUUUAUGCUAAAGCUGGGUUGCACGAGGGCUGUAAAUGUGACCUCCACAGCAGGGUCAGAUAAGGCCUGUGGAUGCAUGUUUCCAGAAGAACAUACUGUUAUCCACCUUUUCCACCUGGGGUCACGAUGGAGAUAAUCCAAAUUGUGGGGAGCCUUCCUCUGCUGGGGGGUGAAUCAUUUUUCUGUCCUCACCGCUGGAGGCUGAGGUUCGCUCCCUUUCUUUGCACGGUCCAGCUCUGUCUCGGUCCCCGUGCUGGUGGAAGCAGUGACCAUGACCUGCAGGGCCAACCAUUGUUUGUUUUUUGGGUUAUUUUUGGUUUUGUUUUCCAUUUAUUGUUUAUUGACCUGGUUUUAGCUCACUGCUCCUUUUUUUUUUUUUUUUUUUUUGGUGAGGAAGAUUGGCCCUACGUGAACAUCUGUGCCAGUCUUCCUCUCUUUUGUAGGCGGGACACCGCCACAGCGUGGCUUGAUGAGAAGUGCAUAGGUUCACACCAGGGAUGCGAACCCUGGGCCACCAAAUGGGAGCACUUGAACUUAACCACUAUGCCACGGACUGGCACCUCACUGCUCCUAUUGUUUUGCCCCUUGAACCUGAGUGGUUCCCCAUAUGUUCAUUUGAGCUCAGCAAUAAUUUAACUUUCUUCCCAGUUUUAUCGAGAUGUGAGAUAUAAUCGACAUAUAAGAUUGUAUUAGUUUUAGGUGUACAACGUAAUGUUUGACAUAUGUAUGUGGUGCAAAAGGACCACCACAGUAAGUUUAGUUAACAUUGAUCACCUCACCUAGGUACAAAGAUACUUUUCCUUGUCAUGAGAACUUUUAAGCUCAACUUUCUUGGGAAAAAAAAAAGCAUAUAUAUUACACAAAUUUAUUAUAAAUUUUGCUGCUGUAAAUGACGUAUAACCUGUAGUCAUCACACUGUACGUCACAUCCCCAGGACUUACUUGUCUUAUAACUGGAAAUUUGUACCUUUUGACCAACAAUUCCCCUGCCUCUUGCAACCACAAAUAUAAUCUCUGUUUCUAUUACUUUGGGUUUUUUUGGAUUCCACAUAUAAGUGAGAUCAUACAGUAUUUGUCUUUCUCUGUCUGACUUAUUUCACUUAGCAUAAUGCCCUGGAGGUCCAUCCAUGUCGUUGCAAAUGGCAGGAUCGCCUUCUUUUUUAUGCCUGAAUAGUAUUCCACGGUGUACAUAUUCCAUGUCUUAUUUAUCCAGUCAACCACCAGUGGACACUUAGGUUAUUUCUGUGUCUUGGCUGUUGUAAAUAAUUCAGCAGUACUUUAAAUAGUGUUUGUCACAAUUAAUCCAGGAUCUGGUCUUCUCAGGAAGGAGCAAUCCAUCAUCCUAUCAGAAGAGGAAUUCCCACAAGUAUGCUGUUUUAUUAAUCCUUCAUACCCCACUUAAACCCCAAAUUAGUUUGGGUGGCUUACAGACAGUGGCGAGCCAGAGUCAUCCUGUACUGGCUUAUGAGAAAUUUAUAGGAAUCUUGCAAGUCAUUUGUUAAACACAGCCAUUAUUAAAAGUUAAAUUACAUAAACUUACAAUUAAAUAAAUUACAUUAAAAAUAAAGGUAAUAAAUACUCAAACUCAUCACUUCCUAGUCCCGUUUCACUGUUACGUAUACUGUUGAGGUUCUUUGUGUCCAUUGUAUCUGUGUUGUGAAAAUGCUACAGACUGGAGUCCUCUUGUGCAUCUCUUCCCGAUCCGUGUUCAGUGACCUCACGUGGGUAUCCUUAAAUCGGCCACGGCGGGAGUAUUUACACCAUGGAAAUGGGCAAACACUACAGGUCAAGGCUUCAUUGAUCACUUUAUUGAUGUCUAGACUUCACAAAGUGAUGGAUAGAAUGGUAACAGUGCAGAAUAGACUUUAAAGUGUGCCGUGUCUCUAGUAGUUACAUUCUGAGUAGCACAAAAAAUUGGGGAAGUAGUCCGCCGGUAUUUGAAAACAACCAAUUUAGCAAAAAAGUGGCUCACAUCAUUGAGGAAUGAGUGAAGUUCUGACAUAAGACAUAGGUGUUUCUUGUUUCACUUCCUCUUCCUUGUUAAAGUAAAUAAAAGUAUCAACCGACAUUCGUGUCUCAACUAUUUUUGAUUGUUGGUUGUAACCAUCCGUUAGCUGUGGAUACAGAGUUUGACAAAAAUCAUCAAAAACGUUCUGAGGGACUCAGUUGGCUGCAUGGAAUUUACAAUAAAGAGUAUUGUGUAUUUUACUAUUAUUUGCUUAUUGUGGGUUAUACAUUUAUAGCAGCAACAUUUAUAAUUAAUUUGCAUAUAUAUAUAUACUUUUUUUCCCCAGAGAAUUAGUGUGAAAUAUUCACCAGCACACCUCUGCUUACAGGGACAUACCAAUAAAAUGAGGUAACACAGAUUUGAAGUAGAUGAGAAAGAAAAAGUGACAGCAAGAAGAGGGACGUGUUUGAGUCAGAAAUGAAGUUAAAACACAGUUUCGUGGUGCAGAGUGUACAUAGAUGCACGGUUGGCCACAGACUCGUCUCUCAGCUUCCUAGCGCAUCUUGUACAUAGAAAACUUUGAUUGCAUACAGAAUUUUAAAUGUUUUGGUGAGGGAUUGUGGAGGUUUUCCUAAGCCAUGUCCAGAAGGAUUUUUAUCCCACGGGUUCAGAUAGAGAAACAACAUGUUUUUAUGAACAAUGUCCUCAGAGGAAACCCUCCCUUCCAGUCACAGGGGUGCUUCCCGGGGAGCCCCGCUCUGAAGGCUGAACGCUUCUUGCCGAAGAGUCUUUCUGCAAGAGGUGCGUGUUGAAGUAGUUAUGGGUGAAAUACUGUGAACUCUUGGAUCUGUUUUGGAAUUCUCCAUGAAACAAACUGUCGACACGAAUAAUCAAUAAUCAAUCUAUAAAUCAAAAUUGAGAUGAGUUCCUUAUACAAGUCAGUCUGUGGAUUAGAGAGCCCGGGAGAGCACCUCCCCCAAGAAGGAGGACUCGGAAGAAGCCACGUGGAUGCGUGGUUAUGUACUGUCUUGGAACAAGGAACAUGUAUCAUACAACAGGGAUAGCUCGUUUACCACAGUCGGGAGACGUUUGCUGGCACAGCAGGUCAGUUUGACCCUUAGUGUGGAAAGAAAUGCUUAAUGCAAAAUAUUGAUAAAGGUUGAAGCUGCAUGACUGACAGUCCGGGAUUCUUUAUGCUCUUGCCGCUCCUUUGAGACGAAGUUGACUCUGAUUAGUACGUCUCUGGUCUCUUUUCUUUAUAACAGCUCCUCCCCUCGUCCCCAUGCUACUCAUGCGGUGGAAAAAGCCGGUCAUUUGCCCUGUAGAAUUUCCCACACUGUGGAGCUGGCCUUUGUUUCCUCAUGGUGACAAAAAGUGUUACCUUUGCAGAGAAAUCCACUAAACUUAACAAUUAUCCUCCAGGAGUGAGACACCAGGCAGGAAGGUUUAAAUGGAAACAACAGGGGAGAGAGAUGGGGGCUUCCGACCAUAAGAAAGAAAUCAGAGCAAACGGGCACGGCCCACAGGGAAGGUGAGGGAAACGGGCCAAGGGAGAGGAGAGCCAGAAAGAACCCUCCAGAUGACUCGCUUACUCCUGCUUUCUCCCUGAACUCUCUGUGGUCCAGCACCUACCUGCCUUCCAUCCCCAGCCCAGCUUCUCACCCCCCAGGCUGUGUGGUGGGGACAGGGCAGCACGGGAGUAAGGUGUGUGUCGGGGGCAUUUUCCCCAUAUGGAGGUACUGCUGAGCUGAAACUUAGGAAGAGAUUUUUUUAUUAUUAUCAUUCCUCUUGAACCACAUGCUUAAAAAAAAAAGAAAGACAAAUACGUUUAAAAUCAAAUCAGUUUUGAAGGGGCAGCAUCUUUAUCAUCUACCGUCCUCGGGAUUCAUUUCACGUUCAAAGAAAUAGAAAACGACUUGCAAAAAGGCAAAUUAGACCCAGAUUUGCCCGCAGGUGGCAUCUCAGGCCGUAAUUUAAUGGCACUUCAUCAACAUUGCCUUUUCUGGGCCCAAUGAGUAGCUUGCGCUGUAGGAAAAGUGCUUUGCCAUAAUUUUUCAUUAGCUUCACGAGUCAUGCCAUUUGGAACCAUGUGAGGUGGCUCAUGUUUUAGUGAUUUUUAAAAACACUUGACAAUCAGAAAUUCAAGCACCAAAUGCCUGUGAGUCAGGGACCAUUUAGACAUCUGAGACAGGACCAGGAUUAAAGGUCACUUGUACCCGUUAUGGGGAUGCUGUAGAGUCUUUGAACUCGGUGAACACUCAGACCAGCUAACGAAGAUGAGAAUGAAGAUGAAGAAGAAGAUGAGAAUGGCCCGGCAUAUCCUGGCUCAGUGGCAGGAGGAGGACGGCAGUUCUUGGUCCAGGCACAGUCCCUCUCAGGCGCCUCAGUUUCACGAGAAGAUGCAGCUCUGCCCCCAGCCCUCUUAUCUGCUAAGGCGGAUGGUUCCCUUCUCCAGGCAGCACCGAAGAUGCCCUCACCAUACACACCCGGAACAACAGUGUCGAACCCAUGGCAAUCCAAACCCGGGAGAUGCUUGACAACAGCGAGGAUGGGUGCCUGCCUGCACGAUUUCUCCAGGACCUAGCAGGGGGUCUUAUCCAGUUUUUAAACAGUGAAAUAUAGCAGAAUGAAAUGGGACGGGAAACCUUGAGAGCAUGUCAUAAGGAUAAGUACUGUUUUGUGAAACCUUUGUUUCCAUUAUGUAUGUGUGUAUGCGUGUACUGAGGCAGAAUGGGAAAUGUGUUUUUAAAUGUGAGUCAAGUCAAAAGGCUUUGAAGAAUGCUGCUCUGAGAAUUUAUGAUUUGCCCCCAAAACAAGCCACACUAGUGAGAAGCUGUUACGUGGACACAUCACAUUGGCUCCUGAACCGUGUGUUGUCAUUUCCAUAACAAUGAGUUAAAAAUGAUAGAAACCUUUCCUCUCUGUCUCACCUUUCUGAGAUACGAGUGAGCUUAAGGAAUUCCUCUGCCUGGGUAACAAGAGUUAGCAUUCAUUUGUUUAUUCAUUCACUCAACAAACACAUUGAGACUGAGGCACUGAGAAUAUAACGGUGGGGAAAAAAUAGACAGAAAUUGCCAUCUUGGUGGAACGUAUACAUUCAGGAGUAGGGCAGGGUCCACAGACUGCAAACGAUGUAAAUAAGUAAAAUAGAAAAUACGUUAAGUGGUUAUAAGUGCUAAGGCAAAAGAAAAAAAAAGGAAACAGAAAAGGGCAACUGAGAAUCUUUGGAGGAUGUGUUAGUUUUCCAUUUUUCUGCAUAACAAACUACAACCAAGUUAGCGGGUUAAAACAACACACACAUUUAUUAUCUCACAGUUCCCGUGGGGCCAGGAGUCUGGGCACGGCUUAACUGGGUUUCUGCUCAGGGUCUCACAAGGCUGCAAUCCAGGCGCCAGCUGGGCUGAAUUCUCCGUUGGAGAGCUGACUAGAGAAGAGUCCUCUUCAUGCUCGUUCAGGCUGUUGGCGGAAUUUGAUUCUUUAUGGUUGCAUGACUGAGGGCACCGGCUCUUGGAUGACUGUUUCCAGGAGGCCACCCUCAGAUCCUAGAGGCCUUCUGCCGUUUCUAGGGGCCUCCCAGUUCCAGUGGCCCCCUCACAGUAUGGCAGCUUACUUCUUCAAGCCAGGGAGGAAAAGCUCUUGUUCUAGUCUGCUAAGAUGGUGUCUUAUAUAAUGCAACAAUUAUGGGGGGACAGCCCAUCACCUUGCCAUAUAAUGUGACCCAACCAAGGAAAGGACACCCCAUUACCUUUGCUAUAUUUUAUUAGUUAGAAGCAAGUAAGAGCUUCUGCUCUCACCCAAGGAGAGGGGGAUUCUCAGGGACGGGGCUCAUGGAGGCUCAGUCCACCACAGGAGGGCUGCAGUUUUAGAUAGGGUGGCCAGAGAAGGCAUGCCUGAGGGGCGUCAUUUGGGUAAGGACCUGGGGAGGUGAGGGAGCGAGCCAUGUGACUGUCUCGGGGAACAGGGUCUCCCCAAGAAGAAAAAUCAAAUGCAGAGCCCUGAGGAACACGCCUGCCAUUUUGAACAUAGCCUGUGUGCUGAUGAGAAAGAUCAAAGAGAGGGACGAACGGAUGAUGCUGGAGAGAGAGAAGUGCUGGAGCGCGGUCUCUGAGGCAGCAAGAGGAGUCCAGCGCUGUGACCUCUGCACCUGUCAACGGCCUACAUAUUCGAUUUUGAGACUCUCCCUGUGAUGAGCUCUCUGGAAACAGGGCCCUGCUUUUUUCUCCUCUGCAUACACAUGAAUGGCCGGGUGUAGGGCCUGGUGCAACGUUUCCCCUUUGGCCACCUGCUCACUGAGGAGGUGUGUGUGAUGAGGACUCUUCAGAUCUACUCCCAGCAAAUCUCAAGUGUACAAGACAUGUUAUACACUAUGGUCCCUAUGCAGCUUUGUUUGUGAAGGUGAUCCAGUUUCGUGCUAAACGGAGUGAUGUACUGGGCCAGAAGAGGAAAGACAAUCUGGACCAGAUGGCCAAAGAUUUGAUGACCUUAUAUGACUCCCGUCCUCACGGAGUUUACAUUUUGACAGGAUCAGAGACAUUAAGUAGCUUAAUAAAUGCUCAAUAAAGAUUUGUGAAAUAAA
Molecule: long non-coding RNA, 12520 nt
Organism: Equus caballus (horse)
Lineage: Eukaryota; Metazoa; Chordata; Mammalia; Perissodactyla; Equidae
Source: Ensembl